RNAcentral lists this RNase P RNA (334 nucleotides) under Ramlibacter montanisoli. RNAcentral describes it as "Bacterial RNase P class A". It matches the Rfam family "Bacterial RNase P class A". From Rfam's summary of the family: Ribonuclease P (RNase P) is a ubiquitous endoribonuclease, found in archaea, bacteria and eukarya as well as chloroplasts and mitochondria. Its best characterised activity is the generation of mature 5'-ends of tRNAs by cleaving the 5'-leader elements of precursor-tRNAs. Lineage: Bacteria; Pseudomonadati; Pseudomonadota; Betaproteobacteria; Burkholderiales; Comamonadaceae. The record is from Rfam by way of RNAcentral.
GAAGCACGCCAGGCCGCUGCUGGUGCAAGUGCCGAAAGGCCGCACUGGAGGAACGUCCGGACUGCAUAGGGCAGCGUAGCAGGCAACACCUGUCCACCGCGAGGUGAGGAUCAGAGCAACAGAGACGAGUCCCGUGGUUCGCGCAAGCGGGUCAUGGGGGUGAAACGGGCAAUCUCUACGCGCAGCAAUGCCAAAUAGGCCAGCGUCGACGUGGUCCCGCGGAGCUGGCGGGUAGGCAGCAUCGAGCCGUGGAGGCGACUCCCGGCCCAGAAGAAUGGCGGUCACAUCCGGGCAACCGGAUGCACAGAAUCCGGCGUAACGGCGAGCUUCACAC